This 253-nucleotide ribosomal RNA is filed under the name uncultured bacterium. Its description in RNAcentral is "partial 16S ribosomal RNA". It matches the Rfam family "Bacterial small subunit ribosomal RNA", at positions 524 to 776 of the family's 1533-position model. The record is from RNAcentral.
UACGGAGGGUGCAAACGUUGUUCGGAUUUAUUGGGCGUAAAGCGCACGUAGGCGGUUGCGAAGGUCGGAUGUGAAACCCCUGGGCUUAACCUGGGAGGUGCAUUCGAAACCGUGCGACUGGAGUUUCGGAGGGAGAGGUGGAAUUCCUGGUGUAGGGGUGAAAUCCGUAGAUAUCAGGAGGAACACCGGUGGCGAAGGCGACCUCUUGGCCGCAGACUGACGCUGAGGUGCGAAAGCGUGGGGAGCAAACAGG